Mauremys mutica (yellowpond turtle) is the source of this 627-nucleotide long non-coding RNA. RefSeq lists it as uncharacterized. The transcript is spliced from 4 exons. NCBI's taxonomy places the organism in Eukaryota, Metazoa, Chordata, Testudines, Geoemydidae. The record is from RefSeq and is a predicted model, not a curated record.
CACAGAUCUGCCCCCUGACCACACGGCUCUGAGCGGGGCGGAGCUCAGGGGCUCUGCCGGAGCCACGCUGCCGCUGUCGAGCGAAGCUCCUGGAUACGCUGAGGCUCUGGGCACUAUGGAAGACAGGCAUACGGCUGCUGUCUGAGGAUCUGUGACAGGUCUGAGCGGCCCUGCACUGGUACAACGGGGGUUAACCCUUCCUUCCUAGCAAAGGAAGCCACACCCCGGAAGCUCUGCUGGGCAUGCUCCAACUGGAGAAGAGGACAACUUUAAGUGAGGAGUUACUGUAAAAAAGCCUGCAGAGCAGUUCAGUCUGGGCUGACCUCCAGAGGGGAAGGAGGUAUGCCGCCAGCUCCUGAGGAGGGACAGACGGCGCACCAGGAUCCAGAGGCCAGCCAAGCUGAGACGCACCCUGAUGUCCGGACAGAGCACAUUGCAGCAGAGGAACAGACUGGAGGAUCCCCCGAAGUGGAGAACCCAGUGUUUAUGAUGUGAGCUAUGCUUACCAUGAGACCAAUUCUGCCCUCUGUGGCAUCUGUACAAUCCCACUAACUUUACUAUAGUUUUAUGGGUGUAAUUGAGGGCAGAAUUUAGCCCACUAAGGCUCUUCACAGACAGAUGCCUGCA